AUGGGCGCUGCUGCAGCAGUUUGUUGAGAUAAGGAUGGCAAGUAUCUGGGAGCCUCGGCGACGAUCUUUGAAGGACUAGUUGAUGCACCAAAUCUGGAAGCUUGUGCAUGCAAUGAAGCCCUCUCCCUCGCAAAGGAUCUCAACAUAACACAUGUGAUAAUAGCUUCAGAUUGUAUGCAGGUUGUCUCGGAUAUCAACCAGGGUGCGCAUUCACCUUAUUCCAUGAUUCUAGAUGAGAUUAGAGAUAGAGUAAAGGAAUUUGUUAAAGUUACUUUUCGUUUUGAGGUUAGGGAGGCGAAUUUUGAAGCCCAUGCCUUGUCCAAGGCAGCUUCGUCGCUUCCGAAGGUCGCCAUAUGUGGCUAG
RNAcentral lists this ribosomal RNA (363 nucleotides) under Triticum aestivum (bread wheat). Its description in RNAcentral is "partial small subunit ribosomal RNA". The record is from RNAcentral. Lineage: Eukaryota; Viridiplantae; Streptophyta; Magnoliopsida; Poales; Poaceae.